This 642-nucleotide ribosomal RNA is filed under the name Klebsiella pneumoniae. RNAcentral's name for it is "partial 23S ribosomal RNA". It matches the Rfam family "Bacterial large subunit ribosomal RNA", at positions 2289 to 2925 of the family's 2925-position model. The record is from RNAcentral. Lineage: Bacteria; Pseudomonadati; Pseudomonadota; Gammaproteobacteria; Enterobacterales; Enterobacteriaceae. RNAcentral also lists the same sequence under 1 other name.
CCCAAAGCGUAACGGAGGAGCACGAAGGUUAGCUAAUCCUGGUCGGACAUCAGGAGGUUAGUGCAAUGGCAUAAGCUAGCUUGACUGCGAGCGUGACGGCGCGAGCAGGUGCGAAAGCAGGUCAUAGUGAUCCGGUGGUUCUGAAUGGAAGGGCCAUCGCUCAACGGAUAAAAGGUACUCCGGGGAUAACAGGCUGAUACCGCCCAAGAGUUCAUAUCGACGGCGGUGUUUGGCACCUCGAUGUCGGCUCAUCACAUCCUGGGGCUGAAGUAGGUCCCAAGGGUAUGGCUGUUCGCCAUUUAAAGUGGUACGCGAGCUGGGUUUAGAACGUCGUGAGACAGUUCGGUCCCUAUCUGCCGUGGGCGCUGGAGAAUUGAGGGGGGCUGCUCCUAGUACGAGAGGACCGGAGUGGACGCAUCACUGGUGUUCGGGUUGUCAUGCCAAUGGCACUGCCCGGUAGCUAAAUGCGGAAGAGAUAAGUGCUGAAAGCAUCUAAGCACGAAACUUGCCCCGAGAUGAGUUCUCCCUGAGACUUUAAGUCUCCUGAAGGAACGUUGAAGACGACGACGUUGAUAGGCCGGGUGUGUAAGCGCAGCGAUGCGUUGAGCUAACCGGUACUAAUGAACCGUGAGGCUUAACCUU